GCACUGGCCACAGGCCCAUUGCUGCUGGACUUGGCAGAGCCGCCGGCAGCUCCUGACUUGCUGAUGCUGGCCAGGGCCUGACGGGCCUUCUCCCACUCCGGGUUCUCGUGCAUCGGCGUCUCCAUGCCAUUCUCUCGGCCUGCCCCAGCCACCAUGCUGUACUGAGAAGACAAUCUGUGCUACGUUGAUCACCCACGUUGGCCGCCAUCUGGACCUUGGGGUAUAAGGGGUGGACCUCGGGAGCCAGACUGCUUUUUCACUGCUGGCCGUCCCGCAGGCUGGGCGAAGGCAAAGGAGGACGCCGGGUGGAGGAGGCCGCUCGGAUCCCCACGACUAGCCACGGAGCCACUGCCCAGGCCGCGCCUGCGCACCACGCCCCAGAAAGACGCGCAGGA
Molecule: long non-coding RNA, 395 nt
Filed under: Homo sapiens (human)
Lineage: Eukaryota; Metazoa; Chordata; Mammalia; Primates; Hominidae
Description: non-protein coding lnc-LENG9-4:1
Source: RNAcentral